RNAcentral lists this ribosomal RNA (460 nucleotides) under uncultured bacterium. RNAcentral's name for it is "partial 16S ribosomal RNA". It matches the Rfam family "Bacterial small subunit ribosomal RNA", at positions 338 to 795 of the family's 1533-position model. The record is from RNAcentral.
CCUACGGGGGGCAGCAGUGAGGAAUAUUGGUCAAUGGACGCAAGUCUGAACCAGCCAUGCCGCGUGCAGGAAGACGGCCCUAUGAGUUGUAAACUGCUUUUGUACGAGGGUAAACGCAGAUACGCGUAUCUGUCUGAAAUUAUCGUACGAAUAAGGAUCGGCUAACUCCGUGCCAGCAGCCGCGGUAAUACGGAGGAUUCAAGCGUUAUCCGGAUUUAUUGGGUUUAAAGGGUGCGUAGGCGGUCGGAUAAGUUAGAGGUGAAAUCCCGAGGCUCAACUUCGGAAUUGCCUCUGAUACUGGUAGGCUAGAGAGUAGUUGAGGUAGGCGGAAUGUAUGGUGUAGCGGUGAAAUGCUUAGAGAUCAUACAGAACACCGAUUGCGAAGGCAGCUUACCAAGCUACUUCUGACGUUGAGGCACGAAAGCGUGGGGAGCAAACAGGAUUAGAUACCCUUGUAGUC